GCGCAGCAGGCGAGAAACCUCCGCAAUACACGAAAGUGUGACGGGGCCAUCCCGAGUGCCGUCCGCUGAGGACGGCUUUUCCCCAGUGUACACAGCUGGGGGAAUAAGGAGAGGGCAAGCCUGGUGUCAGCCGCCGCGGUAAUACCAGCUCUCCGAGUGGUGGGGACGCUUAUUGGGCCUAAAGCAUCCGUAGCCGGCUGGGCAAGUCCUCCGUUAAAUCCAACGAUUCAAUCGUUGGGCUGCGGGGGAUACUGUCCAGCUUGGGGGCGGGAGAGGCCGACGGUAUUCCCGGGGUAGGGGUGAAAUCCUAUAAUCCCGGGAGGACCACCAGUGGCGAAGGCUGUCGGCUAGAACGCGCCCGACGGUGAGGGAUGAAAGCGUGGGGGAGCGAACCGGAUUAGAUACCCCUGUAGU
This 414-nucleotide ribosomal RNA is filed under the name uncultured microorganism. RNAcentral's name for it is "bacterial SSU rRNA". It matches the Rfam family "Archaeal small subunit ribosomal RNA", at positions 330 to 745 of the family's 1478-position model. The record is from RNAcentral.